ACCAGGAUGGCUGAGUGGUGAAGGUGUUGGGCUUAAAAUCCAGUGGACAUAUGUCAGUGUGGGUUUGAGCCCCACUUCUGGUA
This is a non-coding RNA of Polyodon spathula (Mississippi paddlefish), 83 nucleotides long. The record is from the annotation of a RefSeq genome assembly. NCBI's taxonomy places the organism in Eukaryota, Metazoa, Chordata, Actinopteri, Acipenseriformes, Polyodontidae.